RNAcentral lists this transfer RNA (73 nucleotides) under Gomphillus americanus. RNAcentral's name for it is "tRNA-Gly". It matches the Rfam family "tRNA". From Rfam's summary of the family: Transfer RNA (tRNA) molecules are approximately 80 nucleotides in length. Their secondary structure includes four short double-helical elements and three loops (D, anti-codon, and T loops). Further hydrogen bonds mediate the characteristic L-shaped molecular structure. tRNAs have two regions of fundamental functional importance: the anti-codon, which is responsible for specific mRNA codon recognition, and the 3' end, to which the tRNAs corresponding amino acid is attached (by aminoacyl-tRNA synthetases). tRNAs cope with the degeneracy of the genetic code in two manners: having more than one tRNA (with a specific anti-codon) for a particular amino acid; and 'wobble' base-pairing, i.e. permitting non-standard base-pairing at the 3rd anti-codon position. Lineage: Eukaryota; Fungi; Ascomycota; Lecanoromycetes; Ostropales; Graphidaceae. The record is from RNAcentral.
GGAACAAUGGCAGGUGGUUAAUGCUUUUAAGCUUCCGAUUUAUUAUACUAAGGUUCGAAUCCUUAUUGUUCCU